AGUGGGAUAGCUGAGUCACAUGGUAAUUCCACUCCCAGUUUUCUGAGGAAUCUCCAUACUGCUUUUCAUAAUGGUUGCACCAAUUUGCUGUCCCACCAGCAAU
Molecule: microRNA precursor, 103 nt
Filed under: Marmota monax (woodchuck)
Lineage: Eukaryota; Metazoa; Chordata; Mammalia; Rodentia; Sciuridae
Source: RNAcentral